UACGAAGGGGGCUAGCGUUGCUCGGAAUCACUGGGCGUAAAGCGCACGUAGGCGGAUCUUUAAGUCAGGGGUGAAAUCCCAAGGCUCAACCUUGGAACUGCCUUUGAUACUGGGGAUCUCGAGUCCGGAAGAGGUGAGUGGAACUGCGAGUGUAGAGGUGAAAUUCGUAGAUAUUCGCAAGAACACCAGUGGCGAAGGCGGCUCACUGGUCCGGUACUGACGCUGAGGUGCGAAAGCGUGGGGAGCAACAGG
This 252-nucleotide ribosomal RNA is filed under the name uncultured bacterium. RNAcentral's name for it is "partial 16S ribosomal RNA". It matches the Rfam family "Bacterial small subunit ribosomal RNA", at positions 524 to 775 of the family's 1533-position model. The record is from RNAcentral.